Molecule: ribosomal RNA, 253 nt
Filed under: uncultured bacterium
Lineage: Bacteria
Description: partial 16S ribosomal RNA
Rfam family: Bacterial small subunit ribosomal RNA
Source: RNAcentral
UACGGUGGGGGCAAGCGUUGUUCGGAAUUACUGGGCGUAAAGGGUGCGUAGGCGGCUUUCUAAGUUGGAUGUGAAAACUAUGGGCUCAACCCAUAGCCUGCAUCCAAAACUGGAGAGCUUGGGUUCUGGAGGGGAAAGCGGAAUUCCUGGUGUAGCGGUGAAAUGCGUAGAUAUCAGGAGGAACACCGGUGGCGAAGGCGGCUUUCUGGACAGAUACCGACGCUGAGGCACGAAAGCUAGGGGAGCAAACAGG